RNAcentral lists this ribosomal RNA (472 nucleotides) under uncultured bacterium. Its description in RNAcentral is "bacterial SSU rRNA". It matches the Rfam family "Bacterial small subunit ribosomal RNA", at positions 355 to 825 of the family's 1533-position model. The record is from RNAcentral.
UGGGGAAUUUUGGACAAUGGGCGCAAGCCUGAUCCAGCCAUGCCGCGUGUGGGAAGAAGGCCUUCGGGUUGUAAACUGCUUUUGUACGGAACGAAACGGCCUUCUCUAAUACAGAGGGCUAAUGACGGUACCGUAAGAAUAAGCACCGGCUAACUACGUGCCAGCAGCCGCGGUAAUACGUAGGGUGCAAGCGUUAAUCGGAAUUACUGGGCGUAAAGCGUGCGCAGGCGGUUAUGUAAGACAGUUGUGAAAUCCCCGGGCUCAACCUGGGAACUGCAUCUGUGACUGCAUAGCUAGAGUACGGUAGAGGGGGAUGGAAUUCCGCGUGUAGCAGUGAAAUGCGUAGAUAUGCGGAGGAACACCGAUGGCGAAGGCAAUCCCCUGGACCUGUACUGACGCUCAUGCACGAAAGCGUGGGGAGCAAACAGGAUUAGAUACCCACGUAGUCCCUGAGCGGGCUGGCAAGGCGCAU